CUUCACCUUCAGAGGAUGAAUUGCCAAUAAACUGGUGGUAAAUGAAGGAACUUAAUGGAGGUUUGAGUUCCAGUCCUUGCUGACAGCACAGCUGACCCUUCCUCUCUGGGACUGUGUGUGUAACGUGCACAGAAAAUCACCAGUAGAGGGAGAUGCAACUUUGGGAAUAGAAUGUCCCAUACUGAAACAGCUGCAGGCGAGAACCAGGCCAGGGGUCCUGUCUGCUGGUGGGUGCUGUGCAGAGAUGCUCCAGGCUGACCACAUGAACCAAUGUGUCACCUUGUCACAAGUCUCUGUGACUGAAAUGGACCAGUGAUCUCACCCACUGCCUUUUAAAUUUUGGAAAGAUGGCAGCCUGUGUUUGUGGAACCAUGCUGACUCAGCCAGAAUUUCCACGUGGAGGAAGGUGUGAUGGGAGAGGAGAGGAGCAACCUUCACUGAAUGAGACAAGGACUGGAACAGGGGCUGUGAAAGGUGGGUCAGAACACUAGGAGGCUGCAGGAAGCCGAGCUCGGAGGAUUCCAAGCCUUUCUGGAUGCUUCCCAGGACUGCUAUAGGAAAUGAGGCUUUUGGGUGGCCCUGUAGUGAGUACAAGUCGUUUUCAAGUCGCAGUUCUUGCCCAUAGCUGGCUCAUUAAAGGUGUGACCUGCAGCUCAUCCUACCUAAAUUAAGCACAGCUUCUGGGAGGUGGAUCUGGGUGAGCAGGAAGGAUGUGACCUGCAGAUAGUGCCGCUAGGUCAGAGAGUUCAUGUGAACUGCACAAAAUAGGAGCUUGGCAGAAGGAGUCACUGUGAGCUGCAAUUAUAAAUGGAAAGUCUCACUUGGUGCAAACAGCAGUUCUUAAAAUUAGAUCUGGUAAUACGAAUGUGUGGGGAGAGUGCAAUUAGCACCCCAAGGCUUACAUGGAGCAGGUACAGCAAGGAAAUAGGUUAGGGAUCUCCUAAAGAGAAACCACAGGGAGGAGCAGCUUUUCUUCCUCUUUAAUUUAACUUUCAGCUGUUGAUUUAUGUGGAUUAAUAAAAGGGUGGCCAAGAUAGGAUUCAAAUGGUAAAAUUGACGAGCUUCUCCUUGAUGCUGUGAGAAGAAACCUGAUUAACUAUCAGAGCUGGUGAAUGGAGGUUUCAUAUUAGCACACACAGACAAGUGGGGCUGGCAGCACUUUGUGUUGAUGUGUUGGGAAAUGCAAGGGCAUGCUUCUGGAAGGGUUUGGGCCAACAGAAAAGUCAGAGACAGCCUUUUUGUGUGUGAGACUGAUGCCUUGUGGGCAUUCAAGCAUCAGAUGUUUGCCUGCUGCUGAGCAAGGGAGCUGUUUGUGGGGAUUUGGGAAGCUCACCUGGGCAUUGGGUUACGUAGGGGUUCUCAUGGGAAAGGGUUCAUUUGGGAUAGUAAGUAUGAAGUGCAGGAAUGAUGGCUGUGUGAUGCAGCAGAGCAGCUCGAUGCUCUGAGUGACAUAAAAGCUUAACUCUUGCUUUGGAGAUAACUGUGGUUUCCAUGCUGAGCUGUUUGCUUGGGUUCCCAGGUGGAUUCCAGCAGCCAGCGCUGCCGGGCCAGGAGGAACUGAUGUGUCUGGGAAGGAAAACAAAGCUGACACUUACACACAGCACUGGGAGAGAGGGGCCAGGAUGGAGAUUUCAUCGUGAGAAUGCCGCCCAAACCUGGGGGAAGGAGAGAGCAUGGAGUAUUGCCACCUGCCCAUGGCCUCCCCACGUCCCCUCGGCCUCCCAGCCUCACCCCCUGGCGUUGUCCAGGUGUAGGAGGAAGCCAUCAUCUCCAAACUUGGUGAACAUCUCAUAGUGGUGACGGUCCAUGUUCCCUGGUAAAGGAGGAACAGAGCAGCGGUUUCCCUUGCAAGUGCCUGAGUAAUUUUCAGACCUAUCCCGUGUUUUCUUUCCCAUCAGCAUGAAAUGCUUUAAUUGUACCUAUCAGGAAGUCAAAUAUGGCCAUGUCAACGAUGUUAAGCAGCCGGUUGCCGCUGCUGUAGGGGUAGAUCUCCCUCACAGUGUCACAGUAGAGCGGAUUCACCUCCCACCUGCAGGACACCAGGGGAGGGGGCACACAGUCCACUCACAGUCUGUAUCUCACUUAUUCUCCUUCCCACACGCUCCCUGUAAGGCACAUAUAUGAAGCAGCAGCAUUUACCCACUUACUCCUCUUUUCCAUCAAACGAGUAGGAGCGGAUCCAUGGGUUUGGGAUGGAGAGCCGAGGCGCCAGGUUGAGGGAUGGAAGGAAGGCAGACAGGGACCCUUCCAGGAGGUGAGGAUUCCCACACACUGCGUACUCUGUCUUGCACAUGUACGGGCACUUGGCAAAGAAGCACACAUUGCUGGCUGGAGGAGAACAGAGAGAACUGGGGAAAGAACUAUGGGGUGUGGAGCUUGGACUGACCCCUGCCUCACCAUGCAAUGUAUCUAGGCAAAUAAUGGACGUGAACUGCCAAACCGUGGAGGGAACCAGAGUUUUGGUCAAAAGACUCAGUCCUAUGCUGGGGGAAAGGUUAAGAAGCAGGACAAGUGAACAGAUCUCAGUCCCGUUCCUGCACAGCCCGUAAUCUUUUCCUACCUGGAGACACAAAGAAGACGCUCUGCAGGACUUCAUUCCUGGUGACUUCCAGGAUCUCCUUGGUGAUGUUGAUCAGCCUCCCAACAGUGGGGGGCACCCGUCGGAAAUCCAGGAUCCUGCCCGAGGAAAGCAGCUCAGUGACACGCAGUGGGACCUGACUGCAUGGGGUGGCAGAUGCUGCCCGUGCCCUUCCUGCUGGCAAAAUGUUUGCCUUCUUGAUGGCUGCACCCAAAUGGUGGUGAAGCCGGGAUUGCUGGAAAAGGCUCCUGGGUUAAUUGCUCAUUAGCUGUGAGCUUGAAACAAAACAAACCAGGCACCCAGAGCUCAGCUGGGUCAAUGCCCAGGAUGGACCCAGUGCAUGCAGCAAAGCUACAACCUGUGCAUCACUGCCCAGCCUGCAUGGAGCAAAGCAAAAUGAGUACUGGGCUCCCAGUGAGAAUUUUCCCCACCAUGGUGCUGCUGAGCAGUUGCUGAUCCAUGGCCAGCACUCCAUAGAGCUGAGCACAGCUCCUCUCGUACCUGUCCAGGUGGAAGGCUGCGAUCUCAGCAUUGUGCCUCUGAAAGUCCACAAAGUAGAAGAAAUCCUCGGGUGUUUCCUCCUCACGUUUCUGCCUGGAAGAAAUCCAUGGGUCAAUCCUGGGGAGUGCGUGCAGCUGCACCCAGGGGAUCCAAGGAGAGACAAAGCAGUGCUGAGGAUGUGUGGGCCCUGAGGUGACAGCAGCCCUGAGGUCCUCCAUUCUUUGGCAUCUACAGAGAAAGAGCCUUCCAAUGUCAAUAAGCAGUGUGGGAACACUGAUGUUUGCGUGUUACUGGGGAGAGAGCAAGCAGCCAGUAAUAAUUAAAGGUAGCUUUAAUAACUCAAAGUGGCUUUGCUGAGCAAAGGACAAGAGAUGCAAUGUGACGUGCCCCUCCUUGCCCGAGGAUGCCCGCAGCCUCACUGCAGCGAGCUCCAGUGCUCCCAGCUGCUCAUCGUGGGCAGUGGGGCUUUGCCUUACCUCAUGGGCUUGAACAUGGCUUUGCCGAAGUCCUGGAACCUGAGGACCAGCUUCAGGUGCACGCCGCUGGGCUUCACAACUGGGGGGGAAAGGGGACGUUAGGUGCCUGUGUGCAACAGAUCGGCACCUCUGCACCAUGCGAGUCUCCCAAAGUCCAUUUGUUAGGUCCCCUUGGGGACUUUUUCCUCCCCUCAUUGGCACAUCGGUGUCUUGGCAUCCCCACCCCAUCCUUGUGGGGCUGUGGCGUUUAUCCCUGAGCGGAGCGUGGGGCUGGAAGCUUGAGGGGAACCCAGUGCCACCCUCCCCACUUGG
Molecule: long non-coding RNA, 3867 nt
Organism: Lagopus leucura (white-tailed ptarmigan)
Lineage: Eukaryota; Metazoa; Chordata; Aves; Galliformes; Phasianidae
Exons: 3
Source: RefSeq, a predicted model, not a curated record